Molecule: ribosomal RNA, 109 nt
Filed under: Klebsiella ornithinolytica
Lineage: Bacteria; Pseudomonadati; Pseudomonadota; Gammaproteobacteria; Enterobacterales; Enterobacteriaceae
Description: Raoultella ornithinolytica partial 23S ribosomal RNA
Rfam family: Bacterial large subunit ribosomal RNA (bases 1-96)
Source: RNAcentral
AAGGAACGUUGAAGACGACGACGUUGAUAGGUCGGGUGUGUAAGCGUAGCGAUACGUUGAGCUAACCGAUACUAAUGAACCGUGAGGCUUAACCUUACAACGCCGAAGC